Molecule: signal recognition particle RNA, 265 nt
Filed under: Clostridiales bacterium
Lineage: Bacteria; Bacillati; Bacillota; Clostridia; Eubacteriales
Description: signal recognition particle sRNA large type
Rfam family: Bacterial large signal recognition particle RNA
About the family: The signal recognition particle (SRP) is a universally conserved ribonucleoprotein involved in the co-translational targeting of proteins to membranes. Archaeal SRP consists of a 7S RNA and homologues of the eukaryotic SRP19 and SRP54 proteins.
Source: RNAcentral
CCGUGCUACACGGGGAGGUAGCGGUGCCCUGUAACCCGCAAUCCGCUAUAGCGGGGUGGAAGCCUGGCCGAGGCGUGCGGGUGUGGAACCGGAAGCCUGGACGGGCGUUGAGGAUCGGGUCCUGUGCGACGGAAGCCUGUGAACCCCGUCAGGUCCGGGAGGAAGCAGCGGUAAGCAGUCACUUCCGGGUGCCACAGGGAAGCCCGGUCUGAGCCUUGCGUCAUGCUUUACGACCAGAUCCGCAGCGUCGGAGCCAGGUGCACGG